Molecule: ribosomal RNA, 504 nt
Filed under: uncultured bacterium
Lineage: Bacteria
Description: partial 16S ribosomal RNA
Rfam family: Bacterial small subunit ribosomal RNA
Source: RNAcentral
AUUGAACGCUGGCGGCAGGCCUAACACAUGCAAGUCGAACGGUAGCACAGAGAGCUUGCUCUCGGGUGACGAGUGGCGGACGGGUGAGUAACGUCUGGGAAACUGCCCGAUGGAGGGGGAUAACUACUGGAAACGGUAGCUAAUACCGCAUAACGUCGCAAGACCAAAGUGGGGGACCUUCGGGCCUCACACCAUCGGAUGUGCCCAGAUGGGAUUAGCUAGUAGGUGGGGUAAUGGCUCACCUAGGCGACGAUCCCUAGCUGGUCUGAGAGGAUGACCAGCCACACUGGAACUGAGACACGGUCCAGACUCCUACGGGAGGCAGCAGUGGGGAAUAUUGCACAAUGGGCGCAAGCCUGAUGCAGCCAUGCCGCGUGUAUGAAGAAGGCCUUCGGGUUGUAAAGUACUUUCAGCGGGGAGGAAGGCGAUGUGGUUAAUAACCGCAUUGAUUGACGUUACCCGCAGAAGAAGCACCGGCUAACUCCGUGCCAGCAGCCGCCGUAA